RNAcentral lists this small RNA (311 nucleotides) under uncultured bacterium. RNAcentral's name for it is "bacterial SSU rRNA". It matches the Rfam family "Bacterial small subunit ribosomal RNA", at positions 68 to 355 of the family's 1533-position model. The record is from RNAcentral.
GAUGCUUUGGGAAACUGGAGCAUUAGUGGCAAACGGGUGAGUAACACGUGGGUGACCUACCUCAGAGUGGGGAACAACAGACCGAAAGGUUUGCUAAUACCGCAUAUGCUCAAGGAUUCAUUUUGUUGAGUAAAGGCGCAAGUCGCUCUGAGAGGGGCCCGCGUCCCAUCAGGUAGUUGGUGAGGUAAUGGCCCACCAAGCCGAGGGCGAGUAGCUGGUCUGAGAGGACGAUCAGCCACAAUGGAACUGAUUUUCGGUCCAUACGGAUACGGGAGGCAGCUGCUCAUCUUGUGGGUAACUCGAGCCAUCCU